GACGAACGUUGGCGGCGUGCCUAAUACAUGCAAGUCAACUGAAAUACCGGUAGCAAUACUGGUAUGGAGGUGGCGCACGGGUGAGUAACACGUAGGUAAUCUGCCUUCAGGUCUGACAUAACCCAUCGAAAGGUGAGCUAAUAUCAGAUGAUGCAGCGGCUUGACAUCAAGACAGUUGUUAAAGCUUCGGCGCCUGAAGAUGAGCCUGCGCUGAUUAGCUAGUUGGCGGGUAACGGCCCACCAAGGCUGCGAUCAGUAGCUGGUCUGAGAGGAUGAUCAGUCACACUGGAACUGAGACACGGUCCAGACUCCUACGGGAGCAGCAGUAAGGAAUAUUGCUCAAUGGCCGAAAGGCUGAAGCAGCAACGCCGCGUGAGGGAUGAAGGGCUUUUGCUUGUAAACCUCUGUAGCGAGAGAC
Molecule: ribosomal RNA, 418 nt
Filed under: uncultured bacterium
Lineage: Bacteria
Description: bacterial SSU rRNA
Rfam family: Bacterial small subunit ribosomal RNA
Source: RNAcentral